Molecule: ribosomal RNA, 876 nt
Filed under: uncultured bacterium
Lineage: Bacteria
Description: bacterial SSU rRNA
Rfam family: Bacterial small subunit ribosomal RNA
Source: RNAcentral
UGCAAGUCGAGUGCGCGUCCGUAGCAAUACGGAUGGCGCACGGCGCACGGGUGCGUAACACGUGGGCAAUCUGCCCUUCGAUGGGGAAUAACUCCGGGAAACCGAAGCUAAUUCCGCAUAACAUUCCUUGGACUUCGGUUCGAGGACUCAAAGCUGUAAGGCGUCGAAGGAGGAGCCCGCGCCCGAUUAGCUAGUUGGUGAGGUAACGGCUCACCAAGGCAAUGAUCGGUAGCUGGUCUGAGAGGAUGGCCAGCCACACUGGAACUGAGACACGGUCCAGACUCCUACGGGAGGCAGCAGUGGGGAAUCUUGCACAAUGGGCGAAAGCCUGAUGCAGCGACGCCGCGUGGGGGAUGAAGCAUCUCGGUGUGUAAACCCCUUUCGACCCGGAAGAAUGCCUCGCAAGAGGACUGACGGUACGGGUAUAAGAAGCCCCGGCUAACUACGUGCCAGCAGCCGCGGUAAGACGUAGGGGGCCAGCGUUGUUCGGAAUUACUGGGUGUAAAGGGUUCGUAGGCGGUGUGGCAAGUCGGGAGUGAAAUCUCUGGGCUCAACCCAGAGGCUGCUUCCGAAACUGCCGUGCUUGAGUGUGGGAGAGGCGCGUGGAAUUGCAGGUGUAGCGGUGAAAUGCGUAGAUAUCUGCAGGAACACCCGUGGCGAAAGCGGCGCGCUGGACCACUACUGACGCUGAGGAACGAAAGCUAGGGGAGCAAACAGGAUUAGAUACCCUGGUAGUCCUAGCCCUAAACGAUCAGGACUUGGGGUGCCACCCGUUCGGGUGUCGUCCCGGAGCUAACGCGUUAAGUCCUGCACCUGGGGAGUACGGUCGCAAGACUGAAACUCAAAGGAAUUGACGGGGGCCCGCACAAGCGGUGG